This 446-nucleotide ribosomal RNA is filed under the name uncultured bacterium. Its description in RNAcentral is "partial 16S ribosomal RNA". It matches the Rfam family "Bacterial small subunit ribosomal RNA", at positions 338 to 795 of the family's 1533-position model. The record is from RNAcentral.
CCUACGGGCGGCAGCAGUCGAGAAUCAUUCACAAUGGGGGAAACCCUGAUGGUGCGACGCCGCGUGGGGGAAUGAAGGUCUUCGGAUCGUAAACCCCUGUCAUGUGGGAGCAAAUUAAAAAGAUAGUACCACAAGAGGAAGAGACGGCUAACUCUGUGCCAGCAGCCGCGGUAAUACAGAGGUCUCAAGCGUUGUUCGGCAUCACUGGGCGUAAAGGGUGCGUAGGCUGUUUCGUAAGUCGUGUGUGAAAGGCGCGGGCUCAACCCGCGGACGGCACAUGAUACUGCGAGACUGGAGUAAUGGAGGGGGAACCGGAAUGCUCGGUGUAGCAGUGAAAUGCGUAGAUAUCGAGAGGAACACUGGUGGCGAAGGCGGGUUCCUGGACAUUAACUGACGCUGAGGCACGAAGGCCAGGGGAGCGAAAGGGAUUAGAUACCCUGGUAGUC